GGUAUAUAGCUCAGUUGGUAGAGUGCUUGCCUUGCAUGCACAAGGCCUUGGGUUCGAUCCCUAGUACCA
This 69-nucleotide transfer RNA is filed under the name Marmota monax (woodchuck). RNAcentral describes it as "tRNA.Ala". It matches the Rfam family "tRNA". Rfam says of the family: Transfer RNA (tRNA) molecules are approximately 80 nucleotides in length. Their secondary structure includes four short double-helical elements and three loops (D, anti-codon, and T loops). Lineage: Eukaryota; Metazoa; Chordata; Mammalia; Rodentia; Sciuridae. The record is from RNAcentral.